This 89-nucleotide transfer RNA is filed under the name Bacteriophage sp. RNAcentral's name for it is "tRNA-Tyr". It matches the Rfam family "tRNA". From Rfam's summary of the family: Transfer RNA (tRNA) molecules are approximately 80 nucleotides in length. Their secondary structure includes four short double-helical elements and three loops (D, anti-codon, and T loops). Further hydrogen bonds mediate the characteristic L-shaped molecular structure. tRNAs have two regions of fundamental functional importance: the anti-codon, which is responsible for specific mRNA codon recognition, and the 3' end, to which the tRNAs corresponding amino acid is attached (by aminoacyl-tRNA synthetases). tRNAs cope with the degeneracy of the genetic code in two manners: having more than one tRNA (with a specific anti-codon) for a particular amino acid; and 'wobble' base-pairing, i.e. permitting non-standard base-pairing at the 3rd anti-codon position. The record is from RNAcentral.
GUGUAGAUAUGCAAAUUGGUGAAGCAGGCAGACUGUAACUCUGUUCCCUCGUGGUAAACUUGUAGGUUCAAAUCCUACUCUACACACCA